RNAcentral lists this unclassified non-coding RNA (287 nucleotides) under Hevea brasiliensis (rubber tree). The record is from RNAcentral. Lineage: Eukaryota; Viridiplantae; Streptophyta; Magnoliopsida; Malpighiales; Euphorbiaceae.
GAGAGAGAGAUGAAGAAUUAGAAAUUAGAAUCAGAUAUCAUGUCAAAACAUCCUUGCUUUGCAAAGGGCAAAAAAUCUUAAAUUUUGAAGGAUUUUUCCAGAAAACGCAGUAGUGGACUGGGAACUAUACAAAAUCAAACGCGUUUAAACACAGACAACAUUCGACUCCAAGGGAAAAAAAAACGUGAAAACCCAGAAAUACAUACAGAAGAAGAAGAGCAGAGGAAGUCUCAAAACAAGAGACAGACGGAAAUUGUACAUACCAGUAGUUCAGAACGUCGAACCCU